AUACGGAAGGUCCGGGCGUUAUCCGGAUUUAUUGGGUUUAAAGGGAGCGCAGGCGGAGAUGCAAGCGUGACGUCAAAUUUCGGGGCUCAACCCCGUCUCGCGUCGCGAACUGCGUCCCUUGGUUGCGGGAAGGGGAGGCGGAACUCGUGGUGUAGCGGUGAAAUGCAUAGAUAUCACGAAGAACUCCGAUCGCGAAGGCAGCCUUCCGGCCCGUCAACGACGCUCAUGCUCGAAGGUGCGGGUAUCAAACAGGAUUAGAUACCCUGGUAGUCCGCACAGUAAACGAUGGACACCCGCGGUUUGGCCUGUAUGGCUGAGCCGCCGAGCGAAAGCGUUAAGUGUCCCACCUGGGGAGUACGCCGGCAACGGUGAAACUCAAAGGAAUUGACGGGG
Molecule: ribosomal RNA, 393 nt
Filed under: uncultured bacterium
Lineage: Bacteria
Description: partial 16S ribosomal RNA
Rfam family: Bacterial small subunit ribosomal RNA
Source: RNAcentral